UAGGGAAUAUUGGUCAAUGGACGGAAGUCUGAACCAGCCAUGCCGCGUGCAGGAAGACGGCCUUCUGGGUUGUAAACUGCUUUUAUCAGGGAAGAAUAAGCUUCUUGCGAGAGGUGAUGCCGGUACCUGAGGAAUAAGCACCGGCUAACUCCGUGCCAGCAGCCGCGGUAAUACGGAGGGUGCGAGCGUUGUCCGGAUUUAUUGGGUUUAAAGGGUGCGUAGGCGGCCUGUUAAGUCAGUGGUGAAAGGUAUCAGCUCAACUGAUGACGUGCCAUUGAAACUGGCGGGCUUGAGUACAGACGAGGUAGGCGGAAUUUAUGGUGCAGCGGUGAAAUGCAUAGAUACCAUAAAGAACACCGAUAGCGAAGGCAGCUUACUAGGCUGAGACUGACGCUGAGGCACGAGAGCGUGGGGAGCGA
RNAcentral lists this ribosomal RNA (419 nucleotides) under uncultured bacterium. RNAcentral describes it as "bacterial SSU rRNA". It matches the Rfam family "Bacterial small subunit ribosomal RNA", at positions 355 to 771 of the family's 1533-position model. The record is from RNAcentral.